Molecule: ribosomal RNA, 305 nt
Filed under: uncultured bacterium
Lineage: Bacteria
Description: bacterial SSU rRNA
Rfam family: Bacterial small subunit ribosomal RNA
Source: RNAcentral
CCUACGGGACGCAGCAGUGAGGAAUAUUGGUCAAUGGGCGAGAGCCUGAACCAGCCAAGUCGCGUGAAGGAUGACGGCCCUACGGGUUGUAAACUUCUUUUGUCAGGGAGCAAUUGAGUCCACGUGUGGGCUUAGCGAGAGUACCUGAAGAAAAAGCAUCGGCUAACUCCGUGCCAGCAGCCGCGGUAAUACGGAGGAUGCGAGCGUUAUCCGGAUUUAUUGGGUUUAAAGGGUGCGCAGGCGGCCUGUUAAGUCAGCGGUAAAGCCCGGGGCUCAACCCCGGCGAUCCGUUGCACCUGGCGGGG